AUUGAACGCUGGCGGCAGGCUUAACACAUGCAAGUCGAGCGGGGUGAUGGUGCUUGCACUAUCACUUAGCGGCGGACGGGUGAGUAAUGCUUAGGAAUCUGCCUAUUAGUGGGGGACAACAUCUCGAAAGGGAUGCUAAUACCGCAUACGUCCUACGGGAGAAAGCAGGGGAUCACUUGUGACCUUGCGCUAAUAGAUGAGCCUAAGUCGGAUUAGCUAGUUGGUGGGGUAAAGGCCUACCAAGGCGACGAUCUGUAGCGGGUCUGAGAGGAUGAUCCGCCACACAGGGACUGAGACACGGCCCAGACUGCUACGGGAGGCAGCAGUGGGGAAUAUUGGACAAUGGGGGGAACCCUGAUCCAGCCAUGCCGCGUGUGUGAAGAAGGCCUUAUGGUUGUAAAGCACUUUAAGCGAGGAGGAGGCUCUUUUGGUUAAUACCCAAGAUGAGUGGACGUUACUCGCAGAAUAAGCACCGGCUAACUCUGUGCCAGCCGCCGCAGUAA
This 503-nucleotide ribosomal RNA is filed under the name uncultured bacterium. RNAcentral's name for it is "partial 16S ribosomal RNA". It matches the Rfam family "Bacterial small subunit ribosomal RNA", at positions 30 to 523 of the family's 1533-position model. The record is from RNAcentral.